This 460-nucleotide ribosomal RNA is filed under the name uncultured bacterium. RNAcentral describes it as "partial 16S ribosomal RNA". It matches the Rfam family "Bacterial small subunit ribosomal RNA", at positions 338 to 795 of the family's 1533-position model. The record is from RNAcentral.
CCUACGGGAGGCUGCAGUGAGGAAUAUUGGUCAAUGGGCGGAAGCCUGAACCAGCCAAGUCGCGUGCAGGAUGACGGCCCUACGGGUUGUAAACUGCUUUUAUACGGGAGUAAAGCGCCUUACGUGUAUCGCUUUGCAAGUACCGUAUGAAUAAGCACCGGCUAACUCCGUGCCAGCAGCCGCGGUAAUACGGAGGGUGCGAGCGUUAAUCGGAAUUAUUGGGGUUAAAGGGUGCGCAGGCGGUUGAGUAAGUCAGAUGUGAAAUGCCCGAGCUUAACUCGGGAAUGGCAUAUAUGACUGUUCGACUAGAGUGUGGUAGAGGGAGGUGGAAUUCAAGGUGUAGCAGUGAAAUGCGUAGAUAUGUGGAAGAACACCGAUGGCGAAGGCAGCCUCCUGGGACAUAACUGACGCUCAGGCACGAAAGCGUGGGGAGCAAACAGGAUUAGAUACCCGAGUAGUC